This 431-nucleotide unclassified non-coding RNA is filed under the name Ascomycota sp. Its description in RNAcentral is "partial contains small subunit ribosomal RNA, internal transcribed spacer 1, and 5.8S ribosomal RNA". The stretch from base 1 to 47 matches the Rfam family "Eukaryotic small subunit ribosomal RNA", at positions 1785 to 1831 of the family's 1831-position model. The record is from RNAcentral. Lineage: Eukaryota; Fungi; Ascomycota.
AAAGUCGUAACAAGGUCUCCGUAGGUGAACCUGCGGAGGGAUCAUUAACACGUAUCCAAACGUAUCAAACUCAACCGGUCUCGACCCGCUCCCCAAUGUGACGAAAGGUGGUUAGCAGGAUCUCCUAGGUGAAUUCCUUUUGUAUGAACAAGCAAUUGUGCAUGCAAAGGGUCUGUCCUGCAACUAUGACGGUAGACGUAUGUGCUACAAUCAAGCCUUAUCGCAGUUGGUGUAGAAUUUUAGUCACCUGGCUAUUUGGGCAACCCUGCACUUAUAGUGGGCUCAUACCUGCUAUAUUUGACCAGGAUCCUUAUGGCCUUAUUAACCAUUAAACUCUUGAACUUUACAACACUGAACAUACUUGUGCUAGUCGAAAGGCGGCACAAUUUACGAAAUAUGUACAACUCUUAGCAACGGAUAUCUUGGUUCUC